Molecule: transfer RNA, 101 nt
Organism: Auxenochlorella protothecoides
Lineage: Eukaryota; Viridiplantae; Chlorophyta; Trebouxiophyceae; Chlorellales; Chlorellaceae
Rfam family: tRNA
About the family: Transfer RNA (tRNA) molecules are approximately 80 nucleotides in length. Their secondary structure includes four short double-helical elements and three loops (D, anti-codon, and T loops).
Source: Rfam
GUCGAUGUAGUAUAACGGUCAGUAUACGUGCCUGUCAAAUGGUGCUGAGUGCCAGUCCUUUCUGGACGCACGUGAUCCGGGUUCGAUUCCCGGCAUCGGCG